RNAcentral lists this long non-coding RNA (707 nucleotides) under Mus spretus (western wild mouse). RNAcentral's name for it is "lncRNA (ENSMSPG00010007222.1)". The record is from RNAcentral. Lineage: Eukaryota; Metazoa; Chordata; Mammalia; Rodentia; Muridae.
GAUACCAACAAUGCCAGUCUCAGGAAAGGGCUGGAGCGGAAAGAGAGCCGAAUCCUAUCACACCUUGUGUUCCAGACACUGUUUCAAACGGGCUGUGAAGUCAUAUCAGAAUUCCCAACAGUGACAACUUAAAGGAGAAAAAAUGCAUGGUGGCUCAUGGUUCCCAGGGAGAGCUGUCCAUCAAAAAGAGGGAAGGUGUGGCUGAGUCUGUGACCUGAGAACGUGGAGCAGAGGCUGCUCCUAUGUAAGAAACAGAGAGCUCAGUCAGGAGCCAGAAUCUCUGCCCCGGUAACCCACUCCUGCUGGUGAGGCCACAGCCUCCAAACCGGCGCCACCAGCAGGGGCUAGGUGUUCAUACACAUGUAGCUGUGGUGAGAGUGAGGAUUAGAGAGGGGGACACCUGGCUGGCUAGCCAGAGAGAGACACAGAGACAGAACAAAGACCUACAGCUCCUGACCCUGCCUCCUUCCUACCCAGGGUCAAUUAGGCCUAGAAUUUCCUGUAGGCCUUGUCCUCAGCUGGAGGCAAUAAAUCAUGCUAUGGGUUUCUGUUGCAUAGUGGUUGUCAGUCUGACAUCUCCCACACAUUGUGCUCAUACCCACGCGGGUACAAGGCCGUAUGUCUAUCUGCACGGGAAUCCUGGGGGCACUUAGCUCUCAAGUGCAAGUGUACUUUUCGAUUAAAGUCCCUUUUCUCUGUCUCAAGGC